Sus scrofa (pig) is the source of this 834-nucleotide long non-coding RNA. RefSeq lists it as uncharacterized. The record is from RefSeq and is a predicted model, not a curated record. NCBI's taxonomy places the organism in Eukaryota, Metazoa, Chordata, Mammalia, Artiodactyla, Suidae.
GCGCAGCGCUGUGGUCCUAGUGCCACUCAGAUGAAGUAGAGUCCGGGCCAUCCCGGCUCACCAGUCAUCUCCCGAGCUUGCAAAACAUGUUCACGUUAUCUGACGAAGAAAACUUCUCCAGCAGUGGCCCUCCGCCUUUAGCUUGCAUUAGAAUCUCGCGAAGGACUUGUUAAAAGGGUACUGAAGAGCAUCACCAGCAAAACUGCCAAUUCAGUAAUUCUAACUCCGCGCUGAAAAUGUAUGUUUCUAACAAGGGAGAUCAUCCAUUAAUGCAAAGGACCCUUCUGAAAAAAAGGUAAUAGGCUCUUUUUCUAGGAGGAUUUUGAUAGGAGAAAGUUGUGAAAAUGAAGGGAAACCUCACCAAAAUGAAGUUGGGAGGCCAGAAGAGGGAGCUCUCAUGCAGAUCCAAACCACCUGGAGCCCUCAACCACCAGACUAAGUGGAGCCUAAGGAUUGAUGAUACUGACCCUUGUGACUUCACUUAAUUAGAAUAAAGGAAACUUCAUUUAAAAUGGAGUUAAGAGACCAGAAUGGGGAGCCCUCAAGCAUGACCACUUGUCUUCAGUUACAGACUCCAACAGGAAGCAUCAAUUACAGACCUCAACAGGAAGAUUUCUUCUUGCCCAGCAACAAGCUCAGCCAAUGGGAAAAGCUGGGCCACCCUGACUUUUGUUCCACUUUUGUUCAAAACCACCCCUCCCAACUUCCUCUUCUCUUUAUAGUAACUUUCCUCUCCUUUGCUAAUUGGUCUUGCCUAUGGUUUUUGCUAUAGCUUGCUUGUCUCUAAUUGCAAUCUUUCUGCUAUCGCUGAAUAAACCUAUUCUGCUGGUAAAA